UGGGCAAGUCACAGACAGUUGUAACCAACACAGCUCAGUUUUUGUUUCAGCAAAAUGAAUUCUGCUUUAACUUGUUCCUGCUUGUGGUGCAUACUACAGAAUGAAAUUAACAGGUGAGAAACUACAAUCUUCAUUCCUACAAACUUGCUCAGUCUGCAAACUCUGCACUCAUGUGCUUGAUGAAAACUGUAGAGAAAACUCAGGUUAUUUAAAAAAUUGUUUUAAAUGAGCCUUUUAAAUAUUCUUAUAUCAAGAGUAAGUAACACAUCUG
RNAcentral lists this long non-coding RNA (271 nucleotides) under Homo sapiens (human). RNAcentral's name for it is "HSALNT0076350". Lineage: Eukaryota; Metazoa; Chordata; Mammalia; Primates; Hominidae. The record is from RNAcentral.